RNAcentral lists this ribosomal RNA (169 nucleotides) under uncultured alpha proteobacterium GT19-2. RNAcentral's name for it is "partial 16S ribosomal RNA". The record is from RNAcentral. Lineage: Bacteria; Pseudomonadati; Pseudomonadota; Alphaproteobacteria.
AUUACCGCGGCUGCUGGCACGAAGUUAGCCGGGGCUUAUUCUUGCGGUACCGUCAUUAUCUUCCCGCACAAAAGAGCUUUACAACCCUAGGGCCUUCAUCACUCACGCGGCAUGGCUGGAUCAGGCUUUCGCCCAUUGUCCAAUAUUCCCCACUGCUGCCUCCCGUAGG